Molecule: ribosomal RNA, 500 nt
Filed under: uncultured bacterium
Lineage: Bacteria
Description: partial 16S ribosomal RNA
Rfam family: Bacterial small subunit ribosomal RNA
Source: RNAcentral
AUUGAACGCUGGCGGAAUGCUUUACACAUGCAAGUCGAACGGCAGCACGGACUUCGGUCUGGUGGCGAGUGGCGAACGGGUGAGUAAUGUAUCGGAACGUGCCCAGUCGUGGGGGAUAACGUAGUGAAAAUUACGCUAAUACCGCAUACGAUCUAUGGAUGAAAGCGGGGGAUCGCAAGACCUCGCGCGAUUGGAGCGGCCGAUAUCAGAUUAGGUAGUUGGUGGGGUAAGGGCCCACCAAGCCAACGAUCUGUAGCUGGUCUGAGAGGACGACCAGCCACACUGGAACUGAGACACGGUCCAGACUCCUACGGGAGGCAGCAGUGGGGAAUUUUUGACAAUGGGCGAAAGCCUGAUCCAGCCAUUCCGCGUGCAGGAUGAAGGCCCUCGGGUUGUAAACUGCUUUUGUACAGAACGAAAAGGUUUCUACUAAAACUAGGAGCUCCUGACGGUACUGUAAGAAUAAGCACCGGCUAACUACGUGCCAGCCGCCGCGGUAA